UACAUUUAUAGUUUUCUCAUAAUAUUAGAUCACUCCUGAAAUAUGAUAUUUUACUAAAGUAAAUCUGGGUUUUUGUGCUUCGGACUUCUUCGGGCUUUUCCGGAAGUAAGUGGCCUACGUGCAGGAUUGGCACGUCCUGUUCCUUUUCCUUCGGACCAUGCCGUUGUAUGAUGUGAGCCAAAUUCACAUCAAAAACCAUCUUUUGCGAGCUAAAAUCUGAAGGCCCAUAUCUGAACAGCCCACCAACUGAAGUGAAGUGCUGUAUAGCUGCUUUUGGAGUCAUUUAAGGAAAGAUAUGAAGACGUCGGGGGUUUUUAUAUUCCAUUGAAAUAUUGUAUCUCAACUGGAUCAUCAAUAAAUCAACCAAUCAACUAAUGACAGAAACCGA
Molecule: long non-coding RNA, 388 nt
Filed under: Patiria miniata (bat star)
Lineage: Eukaryota; Metazoa; Echinodermata; Asteroidea; Valvatida; Asterinidae
Description: uncharacterized LOC119720160
Source: RNAcentral